GUUUUCUACAUGGAUGCCCUUUCUGAGGAUUGGUGGCAGUACAUGGGUUCACAGGAGAAGAAGAGACAAUUCACAGAGCUGACAUUAUAUUGCUUUUGUCUUUGCAGAGGUAUAUUGGCAGUCUAGGAAUAAAGA
Molecule: small nucleolar RNA, 135 nt
Filed under: Chinchilla lanigera (long-tailed chinchilla)
Lineage: Eukaryota; Metazoa; Chordata; Mammalia; Rodentia; Chinchillidae
Description: Small nucleolar RNA SNORA75 (ENSCLAG00000018658.1)
Source: RNAcentral